GGGUUAAGGAUCAAGCUCUGCCAGCUGAUCAGGUGACAGGAAGGGGAAGGCCAGAACCAUAUAAACCUCAAGUGGAGAAGGCUAAGAAGGUAGCAGAGAAGGAGAGUGCUGAUAACUAUGGAGCAGCUGUGGCAGCCUCCUUGGGAAGAAUAUGCCAGGCUGUUGGACAGAAGCACAAUCACAGGUGGUGAGCCUGGAACUUGUCUGGGAACCUGUGGGUCAGCCUCCUUCCUUUUUAAGAACCAAGUAACAAAGUCACGGCAGCCUAUUCUAGUCUGGCUUCAUCCAUCAGAAGAAGGAGAAAGAGCCAGGAGCUUGCUUCUCCCCUCUCUGCCAGAAAGAACACUCUGCUACUCAACUUGCUGCUCAGGUGCCCUGGGACUGCAGAGCCAAAGGGAAGUAUAGUCCAGCCUCUGUCAUCAGCCAAACAUCAUCAGUGUCAAACAACAAUUUCUCACUUCUGUGAGGGGGGGGGGGAAAUUCUAAAUGAAGGAUACCCAAGGAGAUGUGUGUGUCUAUACUACACAUGUUCCCAGAUCUGCAGGUGUUACUCAAGUUGUAAUUUCUGCAAUGAAUGUAUAAAGCAGGGCAUUUUCAAAUAAAUCCAUUGCUGCAUGUUUAGAUUUUUCCUCUACACACUUAAAAUCCAAAAGGAAGACUGGG
Molecule: long non-coding RNA, 663 nt
Organism: Alligator mississippiensis (American alligator)
Lineage: Eukaryota; Metazoa; Chordata; Crocodylia; Alligatoridae
Exons: 3
Source: RefSeq, a predicted model, not a curated record